CAACACUGGGAUGAUUAUGUUCAUACAUACACCAUUGUGCACUUUGCUUUCUUUUUUUUCCUUGGGAUAAAAGGGACUUAAGCAAUCAAAGUUAUGCACAUUUGAAAUAUCAGUAACUAUUGUCAUUUUCCCUGAGAAUUGGAAAUCUUGGAAUGAAGAAUCAGCCCCAACACUUAGGCUCAGCACCCCCAAACCAGAAUUUCCCAUUACAAGGGGCCUUACACUUCUCAACGCACCUUCAUACUGAGCUUUUUGGAUUCUCACAGAGGUUUUUUUUAAGAGGUUAGGAUUUGGCCAUAGCAAAUUUAACCUAUUUAAGGAACUCCAAGAAGUUAGGUUGACUUGCGUAAAACAAGAUCAGGCACACCACCAUGCUUGCCUUUUCCAUCCCACCAGCUACUGUGAAGGACAGCUAAACACUAUCUUGGACUAGUCAUAUUCAUUUAUACCUAUUUGGUUAGAUCAGAAAACCCCAGUGAGACAGACGUGCAUAUUUUCCCAUCAUAAAUUUUCUCUUUCAUCCAGCAAACAUUUAUGGAGUCCUGGACCCGUUCCAUCCCCAGUGGAAUUAUCCUUAAUAAAUAAAGAUGAAACCGAAUUUUUUAUUUAAAUAAAAACAGAAAUUUUUCAAUCAGCAGACACUGAAGGAUAUUCUAAAGGUCAGAAGGCCUUUGACUCUGCACGUGAAGAAAUAGAUCUAUCUUAUUCUUAAGUAAGUUAAGGACAUACAUCACAAGUGCUAGGACAAUCACUAAAAUCAUUUAAAAAGAGUAUAUAGAUUCUGUGAUGGUUUAAAUUGUGAUCUGCCCACCAAGGAUGUUGAAAUCCUAGUAUGUGUCAAUGCCAACUUUAUUUGGAAACAGGGUCUUUGCAAAUGAUUGAGUUAAGGUGGCAUCAUCAAGUCGAAUGUGUCCCUAUAAAAAUGGGAAAUUUGGGCACAGACAUGCACAGAGGGAAGAUAUGAGGACACAUGGAUUAUGCCAUGUAAAAACAGGAGUGGAGUGAUGCAGUUCAAACGAAGCAAUGCCAAAGCCUGCUGGCGAACCAUCACCACCAGAAGCCAGAAAAUGGCAAGGGAGAGUGUGCUCACGGGUUCAAAGGGAGCCUGGCCCUCUGACAUUUCGAUUUUCUUCUUUUAACCUCCAUCACUGUGAGACAAUACAUUUCGGUUGUUUUAAGCAUCCAUUUUUCUAAUACUUUGUUAUAGCAGUCUGUUGAGAGCCACAGUUUAGUCGCAAUGAUGCCUGGCAUUUUGCUAGAGAGAAUGGUUGAAAGGUGACCCUGCUCCGGGAUUAGGGCGGCUCAAGGAUUACGGCAGAUCCUGGGGGUGGGGGAAUAGG
RNAcentral lists this long non-coding RNA (1340 nucleotides) under Marmota monax (woodchuck). The record is from RNAcentral. Lineage: Eukaryota; Metazoa; Chordata; Mammalia; Rodentia; Sciuridae.